GCCAGAGGCGGAUAGGGUGUAACUGCCACCGGCGUCCGCCAAUCACAAUGCAGGAAGGUGAUGGAACGCAGUAGCUACAGCCAAUCACGUCCGAUCCCAGGCCAGGAAGAACACCCGCCUCCUGUCGCUCCUCUGGGAUUCACUGAGCGCCUCUUCAUCAUUUCCACCAGCAGGGAGGAAAUCUGAGCCUCCUCACUGAAGCCUCUUGCCAUCUGAAUCUCUCCUGAGAGCAGCUAUUGUGCACAAACGUGUCCAGCUGUGAUUAAGGCUUGUAAGGACGCGUUGAAUCAAUGGGAUGUGAGAGGAAGCGGGCCGAGCGGCUGGGGCUGCAUCACUCCUCAUCUUCACUUCCUGUCCAGCAGCAGCAGCCGAAUGGACGCAUUAAUGACACUUCCCCAUCUCUGAGGGAGAUAAUGGGGCCUUGAGUGCAGAUUAAGGCUGGAGGGUCGGGGCGUGGACGAGGAGUUUUAGUUUCAGCGUCCCUGUUGACUUUCAUGGAGCUGUAGUGGUGCUUAAGGCGAAGCUUUCUGGCUUCUCCUCAUCCUCAGCUCCUCUAAACACCAUUAGCGCUCAGAUGUUCUCGGCGCUGAACGCCAUUUUAAUUUGAGGGCCUGGAUGAUGCGUCUGAGCUGCUCUUCUUCCAGGACGGAGGAUUAAACAACAUCCAACCGCAGGGAUGUUAAAGACACGACCUGCAGGAUCCAGACAGGCAGAAUCACCUGAAUAAUGAAGCAUCUGGAUAAAAAUAAAGAUAAAACUAAUUAUACACAAAA
This is a non-coding RNA of Poecilia reticulata (guppy), 773 nucleotides long. The record is from RefSeq and is a predicted model, not a curated record. NCBI's taxonomy places the organism in Eukaryota, Metazoa, Chordata, Actinopteri, Cyprinodontiformes, Poeciliidae.